AUCUUUUUUGGUUUGUAAGUGCAGUGAUUGGGUGUUCAUGCUGUUGUGCUCCACGUGCCUCCCUCUAAGCUUUGUUUUGAAGCUGACCUAUUACCUGUCUGACA
This is a small nucleolar RNA of Sciurus vulgaris (Eurasian red squirrel), 104 nucleotides long. Lineage: Eukaryota; Metazoa; Chordata; Mammalia; Rodentia; Sciuridae. The record is from Ensembl.